UACAGAGGUCUCAAGCGUUGUUCGGAUUCAUUGGGCGUAAAGGGUGCGUAGGUGGCGCUGUAAGUCGGGUGUGAAAUUUCGGAGCUUAACUCCGAAACUGCAUUCGAUACUGCGGUGCUUGAGGACUGGAGAGGAGACUGGAAUUCAUGGUGUAGCAGUGAAAUGCGUAGAGAUCAUGAGGAAGACCAGUGGCGAAGGCGGGUCUCUGGACAGUUCCCGACACUGAGGCACGAAGGCCAGGGGAGCAAACGGG
RNAcentral lists this ribosomal RNA (253 nucleotides) under uncultured bacterium. RNAcentral's name for it is "partial 16S ribosomal RNA". It matches the Rfam family "Bacterial small subunit ribosomal RNA", at positions 524 to 776 of the family's 1533-position model. The record is from RNAcentral.